CCAGCCCCCACCCUCCAGAGUAAAAAGCUCAACUCCAGAAUUGAAAUUCCACCAAUUUCUAUCUGGACAGCUUUACCCUGAAAAGUCCCACCCCCUCAACACAGAAGAAGCUCUGUAUAAGCCCUGCCUUCUACUCAGGUCCCUGCUGUUUCUCAUCCAAGCAGAGGCAGCCACCCUCCUGGUUUUUUCCCAACAAAUCUGUGUGAGGUUUGUUGUGAGGUAUGACUUUGUGGCAUUCCUUGGCUUCGAACUGCCAGGAUACCUUUCCACCUGAGCUAUCACACAUUUGGUGCCAAAACCUGGGAUAGACUCUCCUCAUGCCUGCGUUGCCCCUCAGGGGCCUUGGCUGUACUAGGGCCCUAUCCCUCAUCUCCAGUUCACCAGCAACAGACUCACCUUCCAGCUCAGUAAUUGCCCAGUACUCCAUCCACCAACAUCAAUGAGGGUUUGGGGAAGUGUGGGAAUGCGGAUGCUGAUGCUGUGGAUACUAUGGAAUUCUGGCUCCCUCCCUUGGCUCUGCAGUCCUCAUCCCCCUGAGUGAGUGGUCUGGAAGAAGUGGCAACUAGCAAAAGCUCCUGCUGAUUUGCACCAUGUCUCCAGAGGGAAGCAGAAAGCACAGUCUUCAGCACAGUUUCCAUCAGCUGCUUGUACAGCCAUUCUGCACUCCUCGGUGUGCAACGCAAGGUGUUUCAAAGUGUACUGUGUACUCCAAGGUCUGACUGCUCUACCGAGCCUGCUCUGAACUGCCAAGGAUAAUUCCCUGCUGUUUUGUAAAAGACCAGAUUUGUUCAAAAUUUGUUCAGAAGGCCAACCUGUUCAAAGAAUAGCACUGAUUCCAAGAAGACCAUGGCCCUAUUGCUGUCAGUGAGUAGAACAGGGAGAAUGAACUCAUUCUAGGAUCAAUUUCCAGCAAAUGUAUUGUAAAGAAGGAA
Long non-coding RNA from Peromyscus maniculatus bairdii (prairie deer mouse), 932 nucleotides. RefSeq lists it as uncharacterized. Lineage: Eukaryota; Metazoa; Chordata; Mammalia; Rodentia; Cricetidae. The record is from RefSeq and is a predicted model, not a curated record.